AAAGCUGUCUCUUGGAUACCCUUAACGUAUUCAUAACAUUGGCCUCAGUGUCACCCGAGUUCCAGGAUGGCAGAAGCCAAGGACUCUGCCAUACCAUCUUUUUUGGCUUCCAGUUUCUCUGCUGCCAAGAAACGUGAAUUGGAGAUUGUAAAAUGAAGAUGUGCUGAUGUGCCACUCCCAACAAUGACAGUGGACCUGCCGUCUUGCUCCCAGCUCCCCGUCUAUACUUCCAUCUUCUCUGUUGGAAGGUACAGGAACCAUCGAUUUGCUCAGCUAUUUGUUAAAAAUGAAAGAAUGACUUUAUUCCGGUGUAUUUCAGAAUCUGUGCACAGCUCCUUUAAGAAUGAGAAGAAGACAGCAGAGGAGCAAGUGUGGCCAAAGGGCUGUUAGCUGGACCAUCUCCUUCUGCGGCAUCUGGUCUGAGCUCCCCUCCGCCUGUGGGACCCACCUGUCACUCUCUGAGGAUUCUCUGAAGUCAGAUCCACCUUUAGGUUCUGCCCUUUUCCCUGAGCUCGUCCUUGGUCUUUGCUCUGUUGACUUGCGCCUCUUUGACCGCAGACACGUGCAGGCCUCUGCCCUGGCCCAUCUCUCCUGCAGUCCUGAUCUGGACAACUGUUGGCUCCACUCUGUCCCCUGCUUCUGUCUGAGCCAGUGCUUGUUAACAGGUCUUUCGUGUGGCUCCUUCUUUCAUAUUUUAUGGCACUCCUUUCCUGAACUUGGCACCAAGUCCCUCUGGAACUGUCCUGGGAGAUAAUACAAUGUCACUGCUAAGGGCAACAACCGAUUGUCCCUCUUCUUCAAUGAUCUACCAGUGUCCGCGAGCUGAACUCUCUCUCCGCUGGGGGAAGUCAAUGGAGGUCACUGCCCGAGAGAUUGAGGGUCAGUCUUUGUCUGCCUUCUUGACAGCUCCAAAAGUCUCAUGUUUCUGAUGAGAUCUGCUGAAGCUUUAUGGAGAGAAAAACCCAAGUGGUUCAAGCCGGCGUGCCUGGAUUCCCCUGGAAACAGCAGGAAUGCCCUUUCUGGGGGCUGUUAUUUGUUAAAAUCGGUUACAGUGCAUUCCAGGAGAGACGUUCCAAAAAAUGCAGGAGCAAUGACAGCCUUGCCGGAAUAGGAGCGAGAACAUGGAACGUGGAGUCAGUCAACCCAAGUUUCAAUGGGCAGAGGCAGCUCCUCACUUUCCAAAUGAACAACCUUGUGCAAGUCAUCAAAACUCCCCGAGCCUUCGCUUCUUCAUCUAUAAAAUGAGGAUGAAAAGAAGACCUUUCUGAUGGUGCUGGUUUGAAGAUCAAAUAAAAUAAUGAAUGUGAAAGUGUAUUGUGAAAUG
This 1324-nucleotide long non-coding RNA is filed under the name Equus caballus (horse). Its description in RNAcentral is "lncRNA (ENSECAG00000058147.1)". The record is from RNAcentral. Lineage: Eukaryota; Metazoa; Chordata; Mammalia; Perissodactyla; Equidae.